Molecule: ribosomal RNA, 927 nt
Filed under: uncultured Basidiomycota
Lineage: Eukaryota; Fungi; Basidiomycota
Description: eukaryotic LSU rRNA
Rfam family: Eukaryotic large subunit ribosomal RNA
Source: RNAcentral
AUCUGACCUCAAAUCAGGUAGGACUACCCGCUGAACUUAAGCAUAUCAAUUAAGCGGAGGAAAAGAAACUAACAAGGAUUCCCCUAGUAACUGCGAGUGAAGCGGGAAAAGCUCAAAUUUAAAAUCUGGCAUCCUUAGGGUGUCCGAGUUGUAGUCUGGAGAAGCAUUUUCCGUGCUGGACUGUGUAAAAGUCUCUUGGAAUAGAGCAUCAUAGAGGGUGAGAAUCCCGUCUUUGACACUGACUACCAGUGCUUUGUGAUGUGCUCUCAAAGAGUCGCGUUGUUUGGGAAUGCAGCGCAAAAUGGGUGGUAAAUUCCAUCUAAAGCUAAAUAUUGGCGAGAGACCGAUAGCGAACAAGUACCGUGAGGGAAAGAUGAAAAGCACUUUGGAAAGAGAGUUAAACAGUACGUGAAAUUGUUGAAAGGGAAACGCUUGAAGUCAGUCGCAUUGGCUAGGACUCAGCCUUGCAUUUUUGCUUGGUGUAUUUCCUAGUUAAUGGGCCAGCAUCAAUUUUGACCAAUGGAAAAGGUUCAGGGGAAUGUGGCACCUUCGGGUGUGUUAUAGCCUCUGUUCACAUACAUUGGUUGGGAUUGAGGACCGCAGCACGCCUUUAUGGCCGGGGUUCGCCCACGUUCGUGCUUAGGAUGCUGGCGUAAUGGCUUUAAACGACCCGUCUUGAAACACGGACCAAGGAGUCUAACAUGCCUGCGAGUGUUUGGGUGUUAAACCCAUACGCGUAGUGAAAGCAAAAGUUGAGAUCCCUGUCGUGGGGAGCAUCGACGCCCGGUCUUGAGCCUUGGCGACAGAUCUGAGGUUGAGCAUGUAUGUUGGGACCCGAAAGAUGGUGAACUAUGCCCGAAUAGGGUGAAGCCAGAGGAAACUCUGGUGGAGGCUCGUAGCGAUUCUGACGUGCAAAUCGAUCGUCAA